Non-coding RNA from Stegodyphus mimosarum, 73 nucleotides. NCBI's taxonomy places the organism in Eukaryota, Metazoa, Arthropoda, Arachnida, Araneae, Eresidae. The record is from Rfam.
GCCUUCGUGGUGUAGUGGUCAGCACGCUCGACGCGUAUUCGAGAGGUCCGUGGUUCAAGUCCAGGUGAGGGCA